This is a non-coding RNA of Nylanderia fulva, 799 nucleotides long. The record is from RefSeq and is a predicted model, not a curated record. NCBI's taxonomy places the organism in Eukaryota, Metazoa, Arthropoda, Insecta, Hymenoptera, Formicidae.
ACGGAGGUCCUCUCGUCGAAAUAAAAUACGCGAAAAAAAACGGCAAUCAGAAGGUAUAAUUCACUCGCGAACUCGCUCCACUCGUUCCGCUUCGGACUUUUGACGUUCCGGGCACGACCGGAUUCCGCGCUUCGGGCGCCCUCGUGCGAAGUCGGGAGCACUCGGCUGGCGCCGCAUCAACAGUCAGUCAAAUUCCGCGCCUAGAACAGUGAUGACACAAUCGACCAGCUACUCCGGUUAUAUAUAAACUUCUGCGUCAUUUUACGAGGGUUACGCCGAAAGAUGGAAUGCACGAUAAUUCACUUCACUCUUUCAAGUUUUCUAUCCUCCUUCCUGGCACCUAUUCAAAUCCCCCACCUGAUCGUGCAACUUGCUUAUUCAGCAGCUCAUCAGUUUCUAAAAAAAAAAAAGUUUUCAAAAACCGAGUGUGCUUUUUUACCUGGCGUACUCGUGGCGAUGGCGGCAGUAGUGUAAGGCGGCUGGCCCAUCUGAGCAUGACCGGCCAAGUGUCGGCCGUAUCCGUUCUGCAACCCCAGGCCGUGCUGCUGGGGAUGCUGGGAGAGGAUCCCGUGGAGCAGACGGGCUCCCGUGCUGCUGGUGGUAGUCGCGCUGGUGGAUCCCGGCUCCACUUUCACGCUCGCGAGGCCCAGUUGCUCCUUCUCGCCCGUGUCGUGCGGUUGGACCUCCCUGGUGUCCACUGCAACAGAUAAUGAGACAGACGAUUAAAUAAAUUUUUAUUUGAUACAAGAAUGUCAAAAACAGCUGUUUUUGACGUAUGUAUACUGAAAACAAUUUAUUU